This 373-nucleotide ribosomal RNA is filed under the name uncultured bacterium. RNAcentral describes it as "bacterial SSU rRNA". It matches the Rfam family "Bacterial small subunit ribosomal RNA", at positions 527 to 898 of the family's 1533-position model. The record is from RNAcentral.
GUAGGGUGCGAGCGUUAAUCGGAAUUACUGGGCGUAAAGUGUGCGCAGGUGGCUGAGCAAGUCGAGUGUGAAAUCCCCGGGCUUAACUUGGGAAUUGCGCUCGAAACUACUUGGCUCGAGUGUGGCAGAGGAAGGUGGAAUUCCAGGUGUAGCGGUGAAAUGCGUAGAGAUCUGGAGGAACACCGAUGGCGAAGGCAGCCUUCUGGGCCAACACUGACGCUCAUGCACGAAAGCGUGGGGAGCAAACAGGAUUAGAUACCCUGGUAGUCCACGCCCUAAACGAUGAUGACUAGUUGUUGGGGGAGUUAAAUCCCUUAGUAACGCAGCUAACGCGUGAAGUCAUCCGCCUGGGGAGUACGGUCGCAAGAUUAAA